Molecule: unclassified non-coding RNA, 243 nt
Filed under: fungal sp.
Lineage: Eukaryota; Fungi
Description: partial internal transcribed spacer region
Rfam family: Eukaryotic small subunit ribosomal RNA (bases 1-46)
Source: RNAcentral
AAGUCGUAACAAGGUUUCCGUAGGUGAACCUGCGGAAGGAUCAUUAACACGUAUCCACGUUAAACCUUGUUUUUGGACUUGAGGACCUGGUGAGUUCGCUUACCGAGAGUUCGAAGACGAUUCGUUUCGGCUCGGCACGUGUCGUGAAGUUGGGUGUCUGACAGUAAUUCAUUUUACUGGAUAGACAUCGGCGAUGGAUGCCACCUCUGACGAGAGUGAAACUGGAAGGGUACGUUGGUUCUC